AUCACUUCUUGGCCUUUUGGCUAAGAUCAAAUAUAGCUUUCUUUUCUUA
Molecule: small nuclear RNA, 49 nt
Filed under: Cervus elaphus hippelaphus
Lineage: Eukaryota; Metazoa; Chordata; Mammalia; Artiodactyla; Cervidae
Source: RNAcentral